ACAGAGGUCCCAAGCGUUGUUCGGAUUCACUGGGCGUAAAGGGUGCGUAGGCGGCCGGGUAAGUCUGCUGUGAAAUCCCGCAGCUCAACUGCGGAACUGCAUUGGAUACUAUCCGGCUCGAGGAAUGGAGGGGAGACUGGAAUUCUCGGUGUAGCAGUGAAAUGCGUAGAUAUCGAGAGGAACACCAGUGGCGAAGGCGAGUCUCUGGACAUUUCCUGACGCUGAGGCACGAAAGCCAGGGGAGCAAACGGGA
This 253-nucleotide ribosomal RNA is filed under the name uncultured prokaryote. RNAcentral's name for it is "partial 16S ribosomal RNA". It matches the Rfam family "Bacterial small subunit ribosomal RNA", at positions 525 to 777 of the family's 1533-position model. The record is from RNAcentral.